This 450-nucleotide ribosomal RNA is filed under the name Prasinoderma singulare. Its description in RNAcentral is "partial Bacterial large subunit ribosomal RNA". It matches the Rfam family "Bacterial large subunit ribosomal RNA", at positions 1218 to 1713 of the family's 2925-position model. Lineage: Eukaryota; Viridiplantae; Prasinodermophyta; Prasinodermophyceae; Prasinodermales; Prasinodermaceae. The record is from RNAcentral.
GUCCAUCUUGGUAGCGGAGCGUCCUGUCUUUCAUUGAAGGGAAAGGGUGAUCUUUCCUGGAGAAGUCGGGAAUGAGCAUGCUGACAUGAGUAACGAUUCUCGGGAAAUGAAUCCCCGUCGCCGAAUGCGCAAGGGUUCCAAAGCACUGGUUAUCAUCUUUGGAAAAAACGGAUCCUAAGGCAGUGAAGACAUUUCUUCAGCCGAUGGACAUAUCUUUCUAAGUGGGACGAGCAAAUAACUAUCAUAAGAACUAAUGGUUCUUUAGAGCUCAUGGUUCUUAUAAUAGGUAGACUGAAAUAAAUUGAAUGGGAUUCUUUAUUUUGGAAAGAUGCUCCAGGAAAAGCAAGUAAGAGAGGACCCAAAGAUCUUGACCUCAGAUUCCGUACUUAACCCGACACUGGUGCGCAGGUUGAAUAAACUCAGGCGUCGAGAGACCCAUGGUUAAGGAAC